AGUACUUUAACACCGUUGGACACUGUUUCUUCUCAUCUUGAGAUUGGAGACGAGGCACCGAUAAGUUCUUCUACACCGUUGGACCCUGAUUCUUCUCAUCAUGAUAUUAGAGACGAGAAAGGUACACGCAUCUAUUUACUCAGCUCAGACACACAUGGCAGAGAUGAUGUAGACGUGGAUGACAGGGUAGAAGAAAGUUAUUGUUAAAAUUCUCCGAGGUGGCUGACAAAUGACUCCCCUUCAGUAAUAUUUACUACGUCACCCACCGAAAAUGAUCCAUAAUUUUACCGAAUCCUCAAAAAAGCACAUGGUUUGUUUACAUUUACAUCCCUUAUCUCAAGAUUGAAAUUUAUUAGGUACGUUAAUAAUUGAAAAAAUUAAUAAUUAUUAAUUUAUAUAUUGACUUAUUUAUUUCUGAUAUUUAGACAGGGUGACUUAUUGUCACCAAUAGUGGUGGUCUUCAAUGAGGCCCUGUUAAACAUAAUAAGGAACAAUAGUUU
This is a long non-coding RNA of Strongylocentrotus purpuratus (purple sea urchin), 500 nucleotides long. RefSeq lists it as uncharacterized. The transcript is spliced from 3 exons. NCBI's taxonomy places the organism in Eukaryota, Metazoa, Echinodermata, Echinoidea, Camarodonta, Strongylocentrotidae. The record is from RefSeq and is a predicted model, not a curated record.